UAACAGGAAGAAGCUUGCUUCUUUGUUGACGAGUGGCGGACGGGUGAGUAAUGUCUGGGAAACUGCCUGAUGGAGGGGGAUAACUACUGGAAACGGUAGCUAAUACCGCAUAACGUCGCAAGACCAAAGAGGGGGACCUUCGGGCCUCUUGCCAUCGGAUGUGCCCAGAUGGGAUUAGCUUGUUGGUGGGGUAACGGCUCACCAAGGCGACGAUCCCUAGCUGGUCUGAGAGGAUGACCAGCCACACUGGAACUGAGACACGGUCCAGACUCCUACGGGAGGCAGCAGUGGGGAAUAUUGCACAAUGGGCGCAAGCCUGAUGCAGCCAUGCCGCGUGUAUGAAGAAGGCCUUCGGGUUGUAAAGUACUUUCAGCGGGGAGGAAGGGAGUAAAGUUAAUACCUUUGCUCAUUGACGUUACCCGCAGAAGAAGCACCGGCUAACUCCGUGCCAGCAGCCGCGGUAAUACGGAGGGUGCAAGCGUUAAUCGGAAUUACUGGGCGUAAAGCGCACGCAGGCGGUUUGUUAAGUCAGAUGUGAAAUCCCCGGGCUCAACCUGGGAACUGCAUCUGAUACUGGCAAGCUUGAGUCUCGUAGAGGGGGGUAGAAUUCCAGGUGUAGCGGUGAAAUGCGUAGAGAUCUGGAGGAAUACCGGUGGCGAAGGCGGCCCCCUGGAC
This 675-nucleotide ribosomal RNA is filed under the name uncultured bacterium. RNAcentral describes it as "bacterial SSU rRNA". It matches the Rfam family "Bacterial small subunit ribosomal RNA", at positions 64 to 734 of the family's 1533-position model. The record is from RNAcentral.